RNAcentral lists this ribosomal RNA (591 nucleotides) under Triticum aestivum (bread wheat). RNAcentral's name for it is "partial small subunit ribosomal RNA". The record is from RNAcentral. Lineage: Eukaryota; Viridiplantae; Streptophyta; Magnoliopsida; Poales; Poaceae.
AUGGAGGCGGUGGAUCUAACAACUAUGAAAAAGUUAUUGUGUUCUCCUAGACCAAGUGCAGACUAUUUGGCUGGCGUAGAUGGUUUUCUUGCUUUUGCAUACACUGGAAAAAGUUCGGAUGCCAAGAUCCAUUGUCCAUGCGUCAAAUGUGUCAAUAGGAACUUGUUGAAGCGGGACACCGUAUAUGAUCAUUUGGUGUGUGAUGGAAUGCUACUUGGAUACGCUGUUUGGGGUUGUCAUGGUGAAACUGCAGGAUACAUCUCCUCUAACAAACAAAAAAGGUCAAAACAGGAAGGCAUAAACUCUAAUAUGCGCCAGCUAGUACAUGAUGUUUUCGGGAACAUAUAUAAUGGGUCUCAAGUGAAUGACUUUGAUGACCCAAACCCUCCACAACAUAGGCCAGAUCCUGAAACCCAAGCCUUUUAUGACUUGAUGAGAGAAGCAGAUGUACCUUUGUGGAAAAGGAUAUUAGAUUGCUCGCCCUGGGCCCAAUUAAUGCAGCCAAAAGAUAUUGCGCUUUCAACUCCCGAGGCUACCAUUUUAGGCCUAAACGCUUGGAUAAAGAGACACAAAAUAGUGGAGUCAUGGUAA